CCUACGGGAGGCAGCAGUGGGGAAUAGUGCACAAUGGGGGAAACCCUGAUGCAGCGACGCCGCGUGAGUGAAGAAGGAUUUCGGUAGGUAAAGCUCUAUCAGCAGGGAAGAGAAUGACGGUACCUGACGAAGAAGCCCCGGCUAACGACGUGCCAGCAGCCGCGGUAAGACGUAGGGGGCAAGCGUUAUCCGGAUUUACGGGGGGGAAAGGGAGCGUAGGGGGCAGGGAAAGUCAGAUGGGAAAACCCGGGGCUCAACCCCGGGAGUGCAUUUGAAACUGUCCAGCUGGAGUGCAGGAGAGGUAAGCGGCAUUCCUCGUGUCGCGGUGAAAUGCAUAGCUAUUAGG
RNAcentral lists this ribosomal RNA (346 nucleotides) under uncultured bacterium. RNAcentral describes it as "partial 16S ribosomal RNA". It matches the Rfam family "Bacterial small subunit ribosomal RNA", at positions 338 to 701 of the family's 1533-position model. The record is from RNAcentral.